Molecule: ribosomal RNA, 497 nt
Filed under: uncultured bacterium
Lineage: Bacteria
Description: partial 16S ribosomal RNA
Rfam family: Bacterial small subunit ribosomal RNA
Source: RNAcentral
GAUGAACGCUGGCGGCGUGCCUAAUACAUGCAAGUCGAGCGAACGGACGAGAAGCUUGCUUCUCUGAUGUUAGCGGCGGACGGGUGAGUAACACGUGGAUAACCUACCUAUAAGACUGGGAUAACUUCGGGAAACCGGAGCUAAUACCGGAUGAUAUUUUGAACCGCAUGGUUCAAAAGUGAAAGACGGUCUUGCUGUCACUUAUAGAUGGAUCCGCGCUGCAUUAGCUAGUUGGUAAGGUAACGGCUUACCAAGGCAACGAUGCAUAGCCGACCUGAGAGGGUGAUCGGCCACACUGGAACUGAGGCACGGUCCAGACUCCUACGGGAGGCAGCAAUAGGGAAUCUUCCGCAAUGGGCGAAAGCCUGACGGAGCAACGCCGCGUGAGUGAUGAAGGUCUUCGGAUCGUAAAACUCUGUUAUUAGGGAAGAACAUAUGUGUAAGUAACUGUGCACAUCUUGACGGUACCUAAUCAGAAAGCCACGGCUAACUACGUG